AGAGUUUGAUCAUGGCUCAGAACGAACGCUGGCGGCGUGCCUAACACAUGCAAGUCGAGCGCGAAUAGGGGCAACCCUUAGUAGAGCGGCGCACGGGUGCGCAACACGUGGAUAAUCUGCCUGGAUGCCUGGGAUAACCAGUCGAAAGAUUGGCUAAUACCGGAUAAGCCCACGGUCUCUUCGGAGACUGAGGGAAAAGGUGGCCUCUGUAUACAAGCUAUCACAACCAGAUGAGUCCGCGGCCCAUCAGCUAGUUGGCGGGGUAAUGGCCCACCAAGGCGACGACGGGUAGCUGGUCUGAGAGGACGAUCAGCCACACUGGAACUGAGACACGGUCCAGACUCCUACGGGAGGCAGCAGUGGGGAAUUUUGCGCAAUGGGCGAAAGCCUGACGCAGCAACGCCGCGUGUGUGAUGAGGGUCUUUGGAUUGUAAAGCACUUUCGACCGGGACGAAACCGUAAAGCCUAAUACGCUUUGCCUUGACGGUACCGGGAGAAGAAGCACCGGCUAACUCUGUGCCAGCAGCCGCGGUAAUUC
RNAcentral lists this ribosomal RNA (538 nucleotides) under uncultured bacterium. RNAcentral describes it as "bacterial SSU rRNA". It matches the Rfam family "Bacterial small subunit ribosomal RNA", at positions 8 to 526 of the family's 1533-position model. The record is from RNAcentral.